Molecule: long non-coding RNA, 119 nt
Organism: Gavialis gangeticus (Gharial)
Lineage: Eukaryota; Metazoa; Chordata; Crocodylia; Gavialidae
Exons: 3
Source: RefSeq, a predicted model, not a curated record
CUGAGGUAGGUGGUGUUUUAUUUUGCUAUAUCCCAAAGUCAUUAACUUGCAAUAUGCUGCUGACAGUGUAAACAGCCGCACCGUUAAAGCAUUUAAGCUGCUUUAAAGGCUAAUUUUGU